RNAcentral lists this ribosomal RNA (494 nucleotides) under uncultured bacterium. Its description in RNAcentral is "partial 16S ribosomal RNA". It matches the Rfam family "Bacterial small subunit ribosomal RNA", at positions 28 to 506 of the family's 1533-position model. The record is from RNAcentral.
GACGAACGCUGGCGGCGUGCCUAAUACAUGCAAGUAGAACGCUGAAGGAGGAGCUUGCUUCUCUGGAUGAGUUGCGAACGGGUGAGUAACGCGUAGGUAACCUGCCUGGUAGCGGGGGAUAACUAUUGGAAACGAUAGCUAAUACCGCAUAAGAGUAGAUGUUGCAUGACAUUUGCUUAAAAGGUGCAAUUGCAUCACUACCAGAUGGAGCUGCGUUGUAUUAGCUAGUUGGUGAGGUAACGGCUCACCAAGGCGACGAUACAUAGCCGACCUGCGAGGGUGAUCGGCCACACUGGGACUGAGACACGGCCCAGACUCCUACGGGAGGCAGCAGUAGGGAAUCUUCGGCAAUGGACGGACGUCUGACCGAGCAACGCCGCGUGAGUGAAGAAGGUUUUCGGAUCGUAAAGCUCUGUUGUAAGAGAAGAACGAGUGUGAGAGUGGAAAGUUCACACUGUGACGGUAUCUUGCCAGAAAGGGACGGCUAACUACGU